AUGCAUAGCGAUACCACGUUUCAGGUGUUAGUCAAAUGGGCUGACAGGUUCAUAAUCUCAAUGGCACAUUAUGUUUUCUCUGUAUCGGCGGAGUCGGGAGAUGGACCUUUUGUCAAUGAUGAGAAUAUUACUUUCAGAACAUUUAGUCUGAAUAUCUUAGCACACAUCUGUCUGAGAAUUGAGAUAUAUACAUCAAUAUCGCUGCCAAAACUGGCUUUUGGUGCCAAACUCAAAUAUGCGUUCACUAAUUUCAGCUUGGAGGAAGUUCCUGUCCAGGGCGACCCAGUGUUUGCCUUUCGUGGAAUUGUUCGCCUUUCCUUCCUUGACUGUUGA
Molecule: ribosomal RNA, 333 nt
Filed under: Triticum aestivum (bread wheat)
Lineage: Eukaryota; Viridiplantae; Streptophyta; Magnoliopsida; Poales; Poaceae
Description: partial small subunit ribosomal RNA
Source: RNAcentral